AGUGAACGCUGGCGGUAGGCCUAACACAUGCAAGUCGAACGGCAGCACAGUAAGAGCUCGCUCUUACGGGUGGCGAGUGGCGGACGGGUGAGGAAUACAUCGGAAUCUACUUUUUCGUGGGGGAUAACGUAGGGAAACUUACGCUAAUACCGCAUACGACCUACGGGUGAAAGCAGGGGAUCUUCGGACCUUGCGCGAUCGAAUGAGCCGAUGUCGGAUUAGCUAGUUGGCGGGGUAAAGGCCCACCAAGGCGACGAUCCGUAGCUGGUCUGAGAGGAUGAUCAGCCACACUGGAACUGAGACACGGUCCAGACUCCUACGGGAGGCAGCAGUGGGGAAUAUUGGACAAUGGGCGCAAGCCUGAUCCAGCCAUACCGCGUGGGUGAAGAAGGCCUUCGGGUUGUAAAGCCCUUUUGUUGGGAAAGAAAAGCAGCAGGUUAAUACCCCGCUGUUCUGACGGUACCCAAAGAAUAAGCACCGGCUAACUUCGUG
Molecule: ribosomal RNA, 492 nt
Filed under: uncultured bacterium
Lineage: Bacteria
Description: partial 16S ribosomal RNA
Rfam family: Bacterial small subunit ribosomal RNA
Source: RNAcentral